Molecule: ribosomal RNA, 406 nt
Filed under: uncultured bacterium
Lineage: Bacteria
Description: partial 16S ribosomal RNA
Rfam family: Bacterial small subunit ribosomal RNA
Source: RNAcentral
AUUGAACGCUGGCGGCAGGCCUAACACAUGCAAGUCGAACGAGUGGCGGACGGGUGAGUAAUGUCUGGGAAACUGGCCGAUGGAGGGGGAUAACUACUGGAAACAGUCGCUAAUACCGCAUACCAUAGGAUGUGCCCAGAUGGGAUUAGCUAGUAGGUGGGGUAACGGCUCACCAAGGCGACAAUCCCUAGCUGGUCUGAGAGGUGGACCGGCCACACGGGAAAUGAAAAAGGGCCCAGACUCCUACGGGAGGCAGCGGUGGGGAAUAUUGGACAUUGGGCGCAAGCCUGAGGGAGCCAUGACGCGUGUUGGAAGAAGGCCUUGGGUUUGUAAAGUUCUUUCAUCGGGGAGGCGUUACUCGCAUAGGAAGCAACGGCUAACUCCGUGCCAGCAGCCGCGGUAAUAC